UCUAACCCGCAAGGGAGGGGGACGCCUAAGGCAGGGCUGAUGACUGGGGUGAAGUCGUAACAAGGUAGCCGUACCGGAAGGUGUGGCUGGAUCACCUCCUUUUAAGGAGACCCAAUCUGUUCAGGUCGCAACGUCACCUUAUUAGAACAGAUUCAAUGCGGUCUAAUCACGGGGUUGACCUUGGCUUUCAAACUCUGCUAGGUUAAGCAGACAGGCAUGGGCU
Molecule: unclassified non-coding RNA, 223 nt
Filed under: uncultured cyanobacterium
Lineage: Bacteria; Bacillati; Cyanobacteriota
Description: partial contains 16S ribosomal RNA and 16S-23S ribosomal RNA intergenic spacer
Rfam family: Bacterial small subunit ribosomal RNA (bases 1-102)
Source: RNAcentral